GAAGCCAAAACACGUGAAAUAAAAUCCCUUAUAAUGAAUGAUGAAAAAUGGGAUAGUAUUGAUUAUUUCUUGAAAUUUACGGAACCAAUUGUUGAUAUGCUAAGAAGUGUCGAUAUUGAUGGUCCAAAAUUACAUCUCAUCUAUGAUAUAUGGGACUCAAUGAUUGAGAAGGUCAAGAAAGUCAUCUUUGAGCAUGAGGGAAAGAUCUCAUUUCCGGUCAAUCAAUUUUUUUUGAUACUAUUCAUGAUAUUCUUGUGGCUAGGUGGAACAAAAGUAACACACCUCUACAUUGUAUGGCACAUUCUUUGGUUCCCAAAUAUUAUCAUGAAUCAUGGCUUCAAGGAGAGAAUGGAAUUCGAAAUCUAGCUCCUAAUGAAGAUAGUGAAAUUUCAUUGAAUAGAGUCAAGUGCUUUCAAAGGUACUUUAAAGAUUCUAAUGAAAUGAAACAAGUCUCAUUGGAGUAUGGAUCCUUUUGUAGCGGAAGUGGCUAUUUUAGUGAGCCUCACAUGAUUGAGGCUAUAAUGUAUGAAGAUUCUCUUUCUUGGUGGGCAAAUCAUGGGGUCUCGGCUCCACUUUUGCAACAAUUAGCUUACAAGUUGCUUACUCAAUCGGCUUUUUCCUCUUGUUGUGAAAGAAAUUGAAGUACAUAUUCUUUGAUUCACAAUAUCAAGAGAAAUAAGUUAGCAACUUCAAGAGCCGAAGAUUUAGUGUUUGUACAUUAUAAUCUCCGGUUGUUGUCUCGCAAGAAAGAGAAAUAUAUAAAUGGGCCAAGCAAAUAUUGGGAUGUUGGUGGAGAUCGAUUUGAUAUUGAUGAGACAACUAAUGAUCUAACCGAGCUUUCAAUAGAUGAACCUCAAAUUGAAGGUGUGAUAUUUGAGGAAGAGUUUGAAGAUUUGGAAGAAGUUGAAGAAGAUGUGGAAGAGAUAGCUAACUUAAUUAAAUAACUUGAUAAUUGACAAUAUUUUGUUGUUAUGUUAAUUUUAAGUUAUGGAUUAAGUUGAGACAAUCUCUUGAUUUUUGUUAAAUAGUAUGUUUUACACUUUUACUUGGUGUAUUGAAUAUUGAUUAGUAAUUAUGAAUAUCUAAAUUGUGG
Molecule: long non-coding RNA, 1093 nt
Organism: Solanum verrucosum
Lineage: Eukaryota; Viridiplantae; Streptophyta; Magnoliopsida; Solanales; Solanaceae
Exons: 2
Source: RefSeq, a predicted model, not a curated record